AGAACGAACGCUGGCGGCAUGCCUAAUACAUGCAAGUCGAACGAACUCUUCGGAGUUAGUGGCGCACGGGUGCGUAACGCGUGGGAAUCUGCCCCUUGGUUCGGAAUAACAGUUGGAAACGACUGCUAAUACCGGAUGAUGACGAAAGUCCAAAGAUUUAUCGCCAAGGGAUGAGCCCGCGUAGGAUUAGCUAGUUGGUGAGGUAAAGGCUCACCAAGGCAACGAUCCUUAGCUGGUCUGAGAGGAUGAUCAGCCACACUGGGACUGAGACACGGCCCAGACUCCUACGGGAGGCAGCAGUAGGGAAUAUUGGACAAUGGGCGCAAGCCUGAUCCAGCCAUACCGCGUGGGUGAAGAAGGCCUUCGGGUUGUAAAGCCCUUUGUUAGGGAAAGAAUCCUGCCGGUUAAUAACCGAGUAGGAUGAACGUACCCAAAGAAUAAGCACCGGCUAACUCGUGCCAGCAGCCGC
This 469-nucleotide ribosomal RNA is filed under the name uncultured soil bacterium. Its description in RNAcentral is "bacterial SSU rRNA". It matches the Rfam family "Bacterial small subunit ribosomal RNA", at positions 26 to 518 of the family's 1533-position model. The record is from RNAcentral.